CACUCCUACGGGAGGCAGCAGUGGGGAAUUUUGGACAAUGGGCGAAAGCCUGAUCCAGCAAUGCCGCGUGUGUGAAGAAGGCCUUCGGGUUGUAAAGCACUUUUGUCCGGAAAGAAAUCCUUGGCUCUAAUACAGUCGGGGGAUGACGGUACCGGAAGAAUAAGCAUCGGCUAACUACGUGCCAGCAGCCGCGGUAAUACGUAGGGUGCGAGCGUUAAUCGGAAUUACUGGGCGUAAAGCGUGCGCAGGCGGUUUGCUAAGACCGAUGUGAAAUCCCCGGGCUCAACCUGGGAACUGCAUUGGUGACUGGCAGGCUAGAGUAUGGCAGAGGGGGGUAGAAUUCCACGUGUAGCAGUGAAAUGCGUAGAGAUGUGGAGGAAUACCGAUGGCGAAGGCAGCCCCCUGGGCCAAUACUGACGCUCAUGCACGAAAGCGUGGGGAGCAAACAGGAUUAGAUACCCGAGUAGUCCC
This 471-nucleotide ribosomal RNA is filed under the name uncultured organism. RNAcentral describes it as "partial 16S ribosomal RNA". It matches the Rfam family "Bacterial small subunit ribosomal RNA", at positions 334 to 797 of the family's 1533-position model. The record is from RNAcentral.